Molecule: long non-coding RNA, 2274 nt
Organism: Durio zibethinus
Lineage: Eukaryota; Viridiplantae; Streptophyta; Magnoliopsida; Malvales; Malvaceae
Source: RefSeq, a predicted model, not a curated record
AACAGGUGUAACAAGAGAAAAAGUAGAUCAUAGAAAAAGAAUGCUAACAAAAUACCCUCUUCUUAACCUUCUUCUCGCAUCCCCCUGUUUCAUUCCAUUACUUUGUCUUUCUUUUUCAAAAUUUACCUUUCCUUAUUUUUCCUCCCUUUGCUUUUUUUUUUUUUAAACUAGAUUUUUUUGGUUUUUCUCUAAUAAACUUAUGGAGAUCUUAAUUCUGCAUGGAGAUUUUCUUCUUUGUUUUCCCUCUUUUUUCUCUUAUCUCCUCCUGUGAUGUGAGUUUUGAUCCUUUGAUUUUAAAUACAAGUUUAGAUUGUUUGUUUGUCAUGAAUUUAAAGAUUAAUAAUUUUUUUUAGUUUUUAGUCAAAAUUUCUAGAAACUCCAAUCAAGGGUUCUCCCACUCUUCACUCUUCCUACCCGCAACCCAUUCUUUCUGUCACAAAUCCUUCUGUUCCAAACCCCUCAUUUUGCCCUUUUUCCAUAGCUAGUUUGGUGGUUCAGCUGGUUAGGAAAUGGAAGGAAUCAAUGAACCUUUCUUUGACGAUUUAGCGGAGAAAGAGGAGAGCGGUGAAGAUGACGAAAUAGAGAGCAGUGUUGAUUUGUUAAUGAGGUUCUAGAAGUGUGCCAAGAAGGCCUUUUGCUCUAUCUUACCUGUUGCAAUACUGCCCCAAUUGGUGAAAAAUGUCUUUAAUGAAUUUUGAGAUGUUCUUUGAAUUUGUUUAAUUUAUUUUCAAAUAAAAUUUAUCUAAUUAAUAUUUUCUAUUUUUUGUUUUAGUGAUAGGAAUAUGCAUUAACAGUGAUUGUUCAAGGUAAUUGGUCACUUAUACUUAGGCCAACUACGGAUGAGGAAAGGAGGAAAGGAGGGAGGCUUAACCAUUGUACAGAGUUCAAUGGUUUACUGGCAAACCCAUAGAAAAAAUUCAAGUGACUUUUGCAGUUGAUGGAGUCCUGUUGUUGACUACACUUUCCAUUGUCAAAGCACUUCUUCAAUUCUAUGGUAAUUUCACCUUUUCAGGUGGGUGGUCGGUGCUGAAGAUGGAUCAUUAUUGUGUGAGAUUGUAAAUUGUGUUGGUGCACUAGAUUACAAGUAUUUUCUUCUUUUUUUGUUGCAUUUGCAGUGGAUCCUCUCUAUCAUCAAACAUGUGCGUAAUUUGAUGGUGAAGCCAAGGGUCUGUUGCUGAUUAAUCUUGGUGCUUAUUCCGGAUGUCGGGUUCUCUUUGAUUCAUUCGAAGUUCUAAGGAAGAAAAUGCCUUCUUCAAAUCAACACGAUAUAUCUGAAACAAUUGAUCUGUCUUUUGCUGGAGAAUACGUUGUAUGAUAUUCAACAUGCGAGUAAAGGAUGAGAUUUCACCGACUCUCAAGAAGACAUGGAAGACAUUCUCUCUGUUGCAACAAAGAUAUGGUUAAAUUGCCUUCUUUGAAACUUUCUUUUUUUUAGAUGUUUUGCAUGAUUAUCGAAAAAGAUAGUAGAAAUUCACAUUUUAAUAGUAAUUUGAGGUUGUACUUCCGGGCAAUUACCUAGUAUAAAUGAAAGAAAGCAAUUCAGCAAGUCACCAGAAAAUUAUUUUCAAUUACAAUGCUAAAGCAAGUUUGAUUGUAAGGAGAAACUGCCUUGCAGUAAGAGUGUAAGUUAUAAGUUUAGGCUCAUUAAAUUAAACAAAGAAGGGCAUAUAUUAAGUGCGUAGGUCUUUUAUAAUUAAAUGUGUAUUAAAUGUCUUAAUUUCAAUCAAAUAAAAGAAAAUAUAUGAACCUAGAUCUUUGUCUCUCAAAGAAGGGAAUGGAGGGCUCUGUGGCUAAAGCUGCAUCCAUCCACCACCGGUUCGCAUCAUUCAUACCAGGCUUGGUAGACAUGGUCGUUAGGAGAGUUUUGUUAUUUAAUAAUAUAGGAUAUCUUUAUGCAUACAGCAUAACCCUGACUGCAAACGAAGAUAAAUAAAAGCUACAUAAAAUGUCAUUUAUGUUCACUGGACAAAUCCAUUUUCAACAAAGCGAUUUCAAGGCUGGGAUAAUUGAGAAGUCAAGAUCAGCAGUUAGAUGACCCUUCUGAGGAAAAGGAAAAUGGCUAGGGCCAAUGCGUAAAAUCAUAAAUCCCAUCAAGCCUGAGGUGCCGUGCCCAAUCCAUACCCGAGUACGAUAAGCCGAAUCUUACUAAGCAACCAAGUUCAAUUAUUUGAGGUCCAAGUGGGCCAUGGCCAUUCAAUGGCAUCACACAUUCUACGCCAAUUGAAACAAAAGAAUGCAUUCCACCGUCAACAAGAUCUACGAGGAUACUCCACC